RNAcentral lists this ribosomal RNA (1402 nucleotides) under uncultured bacterium. RNAcentral describes it as "16S ribosomal RNA". It matches the Rfam family "Bacterial small subunit ribosomal RNA". The record is from RNAcentral.
AGAGUUUGAUCCUGGCUCAGGAUGAACGCUAGCGGCAGGCUUAACACAUGCAAGUCGAAGGGCAGCGAGGGGAGUGCUUGCACUCCCUGUCGGCGACUGGCGCACGGGUGAGUAACACGUAUGCAACCUGCCCUCCACAGGGGGACAACCUUCCGAAAGGGAGGCUAAUCCCGCGUAAAUCCCCCGGAGGCAUCUCCGGGGGAGGAAAACUCCGGUGGUGGAGGAUGGGCAUGCGGCGCAUUAGGCAGUCGGCGGGGUAACGGCCCACCGAACCGACGAUGCGUAGGGGUUCUGAGAGGAAGGUCCCCCACACUGGUACUGAGACACGGACCAGACUCCUACGGGAGGCAGCAGUGAGGAAUAUUGGUCAAUGGACGCGAGUCUGAACCAGCCAAGCCGCGUGAAGGAUUAAGGCCCUACGGGUCGUAAACUUCUUUUGCCAGGGAACAAAAGUGGGGACGUGUCCCCAUCUGCGUGUACCUGAAGAAAAAGCAUCGGCUAACUCCGUGCCAGCAGCCGCGGUAAUACGGAGGAUGCGAGCGUUAUCCGGAUUUAUUGGGUUUAAAGGGUGCGCAGGCGGUCUGUUAAGUCAGCGGUAAAAUUGCGGGGCUCAACCCCGUACAGCCGUUGAAACUGCCGGGCUCGAGUGGGCGAGAAGUAUGCGGAAUGCGUGGUGUAGCGGUGAAAUGCAUAGAUAUCACGCAGAACCCCGAUUGCGAAGGCAGCAUACCGGCGCCCGACUGACGCUGAGGCACGAAAGUGCGGGGAUCAAACAGGAUUAGAUACCCUGGUAGUCCGCACAGUAAACGAUGAAUGCUAGCUGUCCGGGGGGAUUGACCCCUGGGUGGCACAGCGAAAGCGUUAAGCAUUCCACCUGGGGAGUACGCCGGCAACGGUGAAACUCAAAGGAAUUGACGGGGGCCCGCACAAGCGGAGGAACAUGUGGUUUAAUUCGAUGAUACGCGAGGAACCUUACCCGGGCUCAAACGCCGAAGGGACAUUCCCCGAAAGGGGAUUGGCCAGCAAUGGUCUUCGGCGAGGUGCUGCAUGGUUGUCGUCAGCUCGUGCCGUGAGGUGUCGGCUUAAGUGCCAUAACGAGCGCAACCCCCACCGACAGUUGCUAACUGGUCAAGCAGAGGACUCUGUCGGGACUGCCGGCGCAAGCUGCGAGGAAGGCGGGGAUGACGUCAAAUCAGCACGGCCCUUACGUCCGGGGCGACACACGUGUUACAAUGGCAGGUACAGCGGGAUGCCAUGGGGCGACCCAGAGCGGAACCCGAAAACCUGUCUCAGUUCGGAUUGGAGUCUGCAACUCGACUCCAUGAAGCUGGAUUCGCUAGUAAUCGCGCAUCAGCCAUGGCGCGGUGAAUACGUUCACGGGCCUUGCACUCACCGCCCGUCA